Molecule: transfer RNA, 97 nt
Filed under: Sporormia fimetaria CBS 119925
Lineage: Eukaryota; Fungi; Ascomycota; Dothideomycetes; Pleosporales; Sporormiaceae
Rfam family: tRNA
About the family: Transfer RNA (tRNA) molecules are approximately 80 nucleotides in length. Their secondary structure includes four short double-helical elements and three loops (D, anti-codon, and T loops). Further hydrogen bonds mediate the characteristic L-shaped molecular structure. tRNAs have two regions of fundamental functional importance: the anti-codon, which is responsible for specific mRNA codon recognition, and the 3' end, to which the tRNAs corresponding amino acid is attached (by aminoacyl-tRNA synthetases). tRNAs cope with the degeneracy of the genetic code in two manners: having more than one tRNA (with a specific anti-codon) for a particular amino acid; and 'wobble' base-pairing, i.e. permitting non-standard base-pairing at the 3rd anti-codon position.
Source: Rfam by way of RNAcentral
UCCGAUAUGGUCUAGUGGCUAGGAUUUGCCGCUCUCAUCGAGCUUCCCGAGCUUGAGCAGCACCGGCAAGGCCCGGGUUCAAUUCCCGGUGUCGGAA